This 214-nucleotide long non-coding RNA is filed under the name Mytilus galloprovincialis (Mediterranean mussel). Lineage: Eukaryota; Metazoa; Mollusca; Bivalvia; Mytilida; Mytilidae. The record is from RNAcentral.
GUGUUCGUUCUGUGUAUGUUCAGUUGUGUUACUACGUCUUUUUUUAUUUUUCGGUUGACAAUGUUUUCUCGGAGUAUCAUUCUGCUCUAUCACCCUCUCAGCUAUGUGUUAUUUAUAUAGUGUGUCUUUCUAUGUUGCGAUUUUACAAUAUUGUUUCAUAUAAGGGUGAAGGUUUGGUAACAUUAAAAUGUUUAAAUCCGCUACAAUUGUUUGC